This 447-nucleotide ribosomal RNA is filed under the name uncultured bacterium. Its description in RNAcentral is "bacterial SSU rRNA". It matches the Rfam family "Bacterial small subunit ribosomal RNA", at positions 30 to 523 of the family's 1533-position model. The record is from RNAcentral.
CNGACGCUGGCGGCAUGCCUAAUACAUGCAAGUCGAACGAGAUCUUCGGAUCUAGUGGCGCACGGGUGCGUAACGCGUGGGAAUCUGCCCUUGGGUUCGGAAUAACGUUUGGAAACGAACGCUAAUACCGGAUGAUAUCGAAAGAUCAAAGAUUUAUCGCCCAGGGAUGAGCCCGCGUAGGAUUAGCUAGUUGGUGAGGUAAAGGCUCACCAAGGCGACGAUCCUUAGCUGGUCUGAGAGGAUGAUCAGCCACACUGGGACUGAGACACGGCCCAGACUCCUACGGGAGGCAGCAGUAGGGAAUAUUGGACAAUGGGGGCAACCCUGAUCCAGCAAUGCCGCGUGAGUGAUGAAGGCCUUAGGGUUGUAAAGCUCUUUUACCCGGGAUGAUAAUGACAGUACCGGGAGAAUAAGCCCCGGCUAACUCCGUGCCAGCCGCCGCGGUAA